This 70-nucleotide transfer RNA is filed under the name Cricetulus griseus (Chinese hamster). It matches the Rfam family "tRNA". Rfam says of the family: Transfer RNA (tRNA) molecules are approximately 80 nucleotides in length. Their secondary structure includes four short double-helical elements and three loops (D, anti-codon, and T loops). Lineage: Eukaryota; Metazoa; Chordata; Mammalia; Rodentia; Cricetidae. The record is from Rfam by way of RNAcentral.
GGAGAGAUGGCUCAGUGGUUAAGAGCACUGGCUUCUCUUCCAGAGGACCUGGGUUCAAUUCCCAGCUCCC